UGUUGAGUUGCAGCUUUGAAUAUUGUCUGCCUUUGUGUUCUCCUCCCCCUUGGGGAAAUGUGCCUCAUUUGUGGCAAAUGUAGGGGUGCAGCUCUGAACAAGAUGGACAAGAUCCCUGCUGUUGGGGAGCUUGCAGUCGAGGAUCUGUAAAGCACCCACAUAGCUUAAAGGUGGAUGAAGGAAACUGUUCCCUCCAGCCAGUGAUUUGAAACUUUGGAGAGAGGCAGUAUUGGUGCCACAUUUGGCCUAUGGGUUGGUUGGCUGCACUGAGGCUGUUCUUCCCCUGGUUCUUCCUAUAGAAACAGCUUUGGGUGAUGCAGUGGUUUGCUCGGGAAGGGGGUUUUAACGUAGAAAUGACCUUUUGUGUUACUGCCGUGUUUUGGUCCAACAAUAAAACUGAAUAGCCUAAAUCAGAAGUCCUGACUAGUGUGGAACCUGAAAGAUGAUGGCAUCCUCAUUAGACAGACAAGUAAUAAGAAUUGGAUACUCACAGGAUGUUGGAGGAACAGCACACCUUUGGGAAGCAUUUUUGAGCUGAAGCAGAAGGAAGAAAAUAUAUAUAUUUGUGCUUCUCAGAGUUGUAUGUUUUCUACACUGCUGGUGUGGCAAUAGAUUUUUAAAUGUUACUUUUAAAAAGAAAAAUGGAGAUUUGGGAGCAGUAAUGGAGGAUCCUCAGCACCACUGGAAGAUAGGCUGGGUUAGGGGGGUGCUGAAAGUUCCAGCCUCCAAAGCAAACCUAUAGUAUGGCUGUGUGUUGUGUGGGAUGCUGGUGGCAGCUUUGUCAGACACAGAUCAUGGGUCUUGCUCCAGAAUCCAUUGGGCUGCCAAGUGACUCUUUGAAGAUCUGUCUGUAAUGUGUGAGUCUUGUCCAUCUGCUCUUGACUCUGAGCUGGCUAGGUGACUGUUGGUUAUUCCUGGGACAGGUGCUGGGUAGGCCAGGUUUCAGCAUCGCAGACAAGAAGCGCAGGACAGGCUGCAUUGGGGCCAAACACAGAAUCAGCAAAGAGGAGGCCAUGCGCUGGUUCCAGCAGAAGUAUGAUGGGAUCAUCCUUCCUGGCAAAUAAAUUCCCGUUUCUAUCCAAAAGAGCAAUAAAAAGUUUUCAGUGAAAUGUGCAAUUCUGUUGUGUGUUCUGUGAAAGGAUCCUGGCCAUAUUCAAGUCCUUGGACCUCAAGCCACUUAAAGCUUCGAUGGGAGUAGCUGGUAACAACCCCGUCAUCCUCUGAUUGGAUGCCAGUAUUUCCUGGCAGAUCCAAGUCCAAGCUUCAUAGCAUUCAUUGCCUGUGCUUGCCACACCUUGGUUGAUGUGCUGUGGUGCAGUAGCCCCAUUUGGAGGGGAGGGUUUGGUUGAUGUUGGGGUUUGAAUUUAGAGCCUUGAUUAAGCAGGGUGCAGUGCUCCUGUGUUCCAGGAGGCUCCCUGCUAUUCAGUGAUUCUGUUCUGUACUAGAAAUUUUAUCAGCAUUGAUGUGUCAUGAAGGAAUGACAGGCUUUGGUGUGAUGGUUGAGAUUAAUUUUAGACUUAACUGUUCAGGCUCAGGUUUCUUUUACAAUGAGAAUAUAAGGUUCUUGGGAGGCAGUAUGUGCAGAUAAGAGGGCAGUCUUUCCGUUUCCAGCCCUCUCCUUUAACUGUUACCUCUGGUGAGUUGUUAAUCUGCCUCAGUUUCCUUAUCUGUAUCAGGAGGCAGUAAUAGUAAUAUCUCUCAGAGGAUUAAAUGAUUUAAUACUUAACAAAAUGCUCAGACUAGCACCAGGCACGUAGUGCUCAAAAGGGGUUUCAUUUUUGUGUUUGGGUAUAAGAAAUAUUACUUCUGCCAGCUUGCUUCCCUUUGGUGCAAAAAUGAAAAUACUUUCCCUGUGGUGAUUGUCUUUUUUUUUUUUUUGAGACGAGUCUUGCUCUGUUGCCCGGGCUGGAGUGCAGUGGCGCGAUCUCACUGCGAGCUCUGCCUCUGGGUUCACGCCAUUCUGCCUCAUCCUCUCGAGUAGCUGGGACUACAGGCGUCUGCCACCACGCCCGGCUAAUUUUUUUUAUUUUUAGUAGAGACGAGGUUUCACCGUGUUAGCCAGGAAGGUCUGGAUCUUCUGACCUCGUGAUCCGCCCGCCUUGGCCUCCCAAAGUGCUGGGAUUACAGGUAUGAGCCAUCGCGCCCGGCCCCUGUAGUGAUUUUCUAUAUCUAACUGAAGUCGAUGCUCAAAAGCCAUCAUUUUUGUUUGUUUGUUUUUGGUGGUGGUUUUUUUUGUGACAGAGUCUCUCUUUGUCACCCAGGCUGGAGUGUGCAGUGGCAUGAUCUCUGCAACCUCCGCCUCCUGGGUUCAAGCAAUCCUCCCACCUCGGCGUCCCAAGUAAUUAGGAUUACAGCCAUCCACCACCACACCCAGCUAGUGUUUUUUUGUAGAGAUGGGGUUUCACCAUGUUGGCCAGGCUGGUCUUGAACUCAGCAUCCCAAAGUGUUGGGAUUACAGGCGUGAGCCACUGCACCUGGCAAAUAUUUUCUGACACAAUACUUGGCCAUUGGUUCAUCAUUUUCAAUUUCAGGUUUAAAUUUUGGAGCGCGUGUUAAUUCAGUUAGAUAACUUACUAAUUUGUGACUAAUUAGAGUUCGGUUGUCCUUGGGCCACCCGUUCAUUGCUGUUCAGAGAUUCUCAAAUUUGCUGCUUUUGUACGUAUUUUGAAACCUGGAAAUAGAUUAUUUGGUGUGCCUCAUUUUUAAAUGAAAAUAAAGUUACCUUACCCUGUAAGAUGAGCUCUAGUUGG
RNAcentral lists this long non-coding RNA (2750 nucleotides) under Pan troglodytes (chimpanzee). RNAcentral's name for it is "long non-coding RNA NONPTRT000125". Lineage: Eukaryota; Metazoa; Chordata; Mammalia; Primates; Hominidae. The record is from RNAcentral.